RNAcentral lists this long non-coding RNA (1351 nucleotides) under Solanum tuberosum (potato). Its description in RNAcentral is "long non-coding RNA (STUB_LNC000750)". Lineage: Eukaryota; Viridiplantae; Streptophyta; Magnoliopsida; Solanales; Solanaceae. The record is from RNAcentral.
AAAGAAACAAUAACUUGUGUACCGAAAGAGGUACCAUUUUCUCAUGAAUUUAUCUUGAGUUGAGAUUCUUUGGUCAAUUCUAUCCAAUUUUGCUAACAGCAGUCCAUUUUCAAUCUUGAAUUGGUUAAAAUACAGCAACGGAAUUGUGUAUUUAUUUAAGGUGACAAUGUAUAUUAUUUAUUAAACUCUUAUGUUUUAUUGUGCUUUCUAUUCUGGCUUUGAAAUUUGGGGCUAAGAAAAAGGUUGGGAUGUUCAUUGUUCAACUAAUUUGAGAUAUUAGACGAUGCUAUUGAUGUAAUGAAAUUGGAAGAUGCUGUAAUUCAAAACAUGGUAAAGUCUCUGAUUUGUAUUCACAAGUUGCAAUCCUUGAUUGUUUUUCAUUGUAUUGGGUUAUUUUUCAUAAUAUUGGCAAUUUUGACAAAUGUACAAUGAUUUUAACUCUACUAUAUACAUACUUGGUCACCCAUGGAAAAAGUUUGAAAAGAUAAUUCAACAAUUAUUUGGAAACCUUUCCUCAUGUUGGGAACCAAAAUGAGGUACAAGAAGCAAUGUAAAGUGUACUUCAAACAGAACUUGAGUUGUACGAGUAGGGUUAAAAUAGUAACUUCGCUUUAUUCACUCUCUCACCUCUGCUUCUACUCUUUCUUCUCUGGUUGACAACAUUGACAGCCAUUUUAAACCUUCAACGGAGUUAAACUUUACUUCAGAGUCUCACUCCAACUUCUCAAGUUCUUUCAAUUGUUUACCUGGUAAGUAUUCUUGUGUGGUAUUGACCCUCUUCCCUUGUGAAUUUUUACUCUUUUUUUCCCAUUAUUGUGUUUAUGCUUUCCUAUUAUUCUACUGAUUUUUCUUAUUUAUAGGUCUUCCACAAUUUUUCUUGGAUUCUUUUGAGUUCUCGUAGAUGCCUCUUGAAAUACAUGCAUAAUUUGUUUUCAAAUAUUUUGCAGUUUCUAGCUCUAAAAUACUAAAAAUAUUAGUAGUAUUUUAUUAUCUAUAUAUGAUACUUUUUGUAGAUAAUUAAUGGCUUGAUGCAGUCGCAUGUUUGACGGAAUUUCAUGUGAAGGUAAGACUUGUGUGUUAUGAAGAGAGAUUAGUUACAAGAGUUGAUUGUUUUGGCAGAUGAUUGAAGGUGCUAAUGAAGUUGAACGGUGGGCUUAGGUGAAUAGACAUUUUCCCUUAUAAUAUCUUUUUUUCAUAUGGUAUUUUCCCCAAAAAAAUAUUGAGUAAGAAUUUGAGUUACCGAAUUCUUUGAUGCUGCCAUGAAAUUAGAAGUGAUAACGUAAUGCUGAAAAUUCAGGGUAAGCUUUCAGUAUUGAUCUUUUUGUUGUUUGAACUACAUUUUUGAAAAAAU